RNAcentral lists this ribosomal RNA (481 nucleotides) under uncultured bacterium. RNAcentral's name for it is "partial 16S ribosomal RNA". It matches the Rfam family "Bacterial small subunit ribosomal RNA", at positions 28 to 507 of the family's 1533-position model. The record is from RNAcentral.
GAUGAACGCUGGCGGCGUGCUUAACACAUGCAAGUCGAACGAAGCACUUUAUUUGAUUUCCUUCGGGACUGAUUAUUUUGUGACUGAGUGGCGGACGGGUGAGUAACGCGUGGGUAACCUGCCUUGUACAGGGGGAUAACAGUUGGCAACGGCUGCUAAUACCGCAUAAGCGCACAGCAUCGCAUGCUGCAGUGUGAAAAACUCCGGUGGUAUAAGAUGGACCCGCGUUGGAUUAGCUAGUGGGUGAGGUAACGGCCCACCAAGGCGACGAUCCAUAGCCGACCUGGGAGGGUGACCGGCUACAUUGGGACUGAGACACGGCCCAAACUCCGACGGGAGGCAGCAGUGGGGAAUAUUGCACAAUGGGCGAAAGCCUGAUGCAGCGACGCCGCGUGAGCGAAGAAGUAUUUCGGUAUGUAAAGCUCUAUCAGCAGGGAAGAGAAUGACGGUAACUGACUAAGAAGCACCGGCUAAAUACGUG